AUUGAACGCUGGCGGCAUGCCUUACACAUGCAAGUCGAACGGUAGAGUAGCAAUACUCGAGAGUGGCGAACGGGUGAGUAAUAUAUCGGAACGUGCCCAGUCGUGGGGGAUAACGUAGAGAAAUUUACGCUAAUACCGCAUACGAUCUAAGGAUGAAAGCGGGGGACUCGCAAGGGCCCCGCGCGAUUGGAGCGGCUGAU
RNAcentral lists this ribosomal RNA (200 nucleotides) under uncultured bacterium. RNAcentral describes it as "partial 16S ribosomal RNA". It matches the Rfam family "Bacterial small subunit ribosomal RNA", at positions 30 to 234 of the family's 1533-position model. The record is from RNAcentral.